Molecule: transfer RNA, 78 nt
Filed under: Flammeovirgaceae bacterium
Lineage: Bacteria; Pseudomonadati; Bacteroidota; Cytophagia; Cytophagales; Flammeovirgaceae
Description: tRNA-Met
Rfam family: tRNA
About the family: Transfer RNA (tRNA) molecules are approximately 80 nucleotides in length.
Source: RNAcentral
GGCGGGGAUAGAGAAAUGGCAUCUCAGCGGUCUCAUAAGCCGAAUAAAGCAGGGUUCGAAUCCCUGCCCCCGCUACCA